CUCUGGUGCCUUCAAUGCUAUACUGUAAUGGCUAACAGCCCUGACACUGCCAGCCUGCAUUCAAGCAGGUAGGUCACACCCUGCUGCCCAGUUACAUUUUGCAGAGUGACAUGCUCCCAGACUUGAAUUUCCCCAGAACUGUCUGCCAGUGUGACAGUCCUCUGGGGUUCCCAGAACUGAGAGUUACUGUGCUGCCUGUCUCAGCGUCAGCAAGUGAAAGGUGUGCUAUUGCUAAGCUGUGUGACAACUUCCUGAAGCACCAGCCUGUCUGCCUUGCCAGAAAACCCUUCAGGACUCUGCCAGACCAAAGCUUGCCUAGCAGCUGGCUCAAGAGAUAGCCUCUCCACUGCCAAAGGAUACUUGAAAGAAGCUGGAACAAAGGACAGGAACCACGGGGGUAUAAGUGAUUGCUGGAUCCAGACUAGAAGGAGGCUAGUCUGUAAAAGAAACUUACUGGAACAUCGCUGAGGAAAGAAGAAAAUGCUACUACUAAUAUGGUUCUAGUUACUUCUGAGGACCAUCUUGUGGAAUGC
Long non-coding RNA from Mauremys reevesii (Reeves's turtle), 533 nucleotides. RefSeq lists it as uncharacterized. Lineage: Eukaryota; Metazoa; Chordata; Testudines; Geoemydidae. The transcript is spliced from 3 exons. The record is from RefSeq and is a predicted model, not a curated record.